This 783-nucleotide long non-coding RNA is filed under the name Canis lupus familiaris (dog). RNAcentral describes it as "lncRNA (ENSCAFG00000038629.3)". The record is from RNAcentral. Lineage: Eukaryota; Metazoa; Chordata; Mammalia; Carnivora; Canidae.
AUGCACCACACUCUGCCCACACCGGUUCCAAGUGACCCACUCGGGCCUCACCUUCUCCUGUGUCCUCUCCCUGUCAGACAAGAAAGCAAACCCCGGGGGUCAGCGGAGGUCUGCUGGCCGGCAAGCCCUCUGCCCCGCCUCUUUCCACCCCUCUGGGCUCUGCAGGCCUCGGCGGCCUCACCUGCGUCUGCACCAGCUCAGCGCCAGCUCGGGGCCCAGCACCUGCCGGCCCGACGGUCUGGCCUCGGUCCACACGGGUGGCUUCUCCCGCCCCUGGGCCGAUCCCCGCCGAACCCAGAGUUCGCGGCCGGCGGGAGCCCAGGGUCCGGGACAGACGGACGGACGGACGGAAGGAAGGAGGUCACGGCAGCGCCGCGCCGCUCGGAUCUCCCUCCUGGGGCUCACGCGGCGGAGGCCGGGAGGUGCCAGGAGGAGUGGCCCGGCCGGGUGCCCGCCCUCCGCCCCGCGUGUCGGUGCCGGAACCCGGGCAGUGGGCGGUCUCGGGGCUUCCGUCUGCGGCUGGGCGCCCGCUCCGCGAGGACAGGCGCUGGACCAGCUUCCAUCCCGGUCCCGGCUUACCUGGCACCUGCGGGCGCUCCACCCACGGGAGGUUCGUCCCCGCUUCCCGCCUGAAGGCGACGGUGGCCCACAGCACGUCCGACCGGUUUCAGGUAGAAACAAGAGUUGAAGAUGUCCAGCAAAACAGCAAGCACCAACAACAUCGCCCAGGCACGGAGAACGGUGCAACAGCUGAGAAUGGAAGCCUCCAUCGAGAGAAUAAAG